RNAcentral lists this ribosomal RNA (253 nucleotides) under uncultured prokaryote. RNAcentral describes it as "partial 16S ribosomal RNA". It matches the Rfam family "Bacterial small subunit ribosomal RNA", at positions 524 to 776 of the family's 1533-position model. The record is from RNAcentral.
AACGUAGGAGGCGAGCGUUAUCCGGAGUUACUGGGCGUAAAGCGCGUGUAGGUGGCGUGUCACGUCUGCUGUGAAAGCUCCCGGCUUAACCGGGACUAGGCGGUAGAUACGGGCAAGCUAGAGGGUGACAGAGGAGCGUAGAAUUCCGGGUGUAGUGGUGAAAUGCGUAGAGAUGUGGAGGAACACCGAUGGCGAAGGCAGCCCCCUGGGUCAAGAUUGACGCUCAUGCACGAAAGCGUGGGGAGCAAACAGG